RNAcentral lists this ribosomal RNA (474 nucleotides) under uncultured bacterium. RNAcentral's name for it is "bacterial SSU rRNA". It matches the Rfam family "Bacterial small subunit ribosomal RNA", at positions 8 to 464 of the family's 1533-position model. The record is from RNAcentral.
AGAGUUUGAUCAUGGCUCAGAACGAACGCUGGCGNCGUGCCUAACACAUGCAAGUCGUGCGAGAACGGUUCCUUCGGGAAUCGGGAAAGCGGCGAACGGGUGAGUAAUACGUGAGCGAUCUACCCGAGGGUGGGGGAUAACCCAGGGAAACCUGGACUAAUACCGCGUACAGCGCCGGGACUGGAUGCCCGGCGUGAAAGUCGGCCUCUUCUAUGCUGGCGCCUUCGGAUGAGCUCGCGGCCUAUCAGCUUGUUGGUGGGGUAACGGCCUACCAAGGCUAUGACGGGUAGCUGACGUGAGAGCGUGAUCAGCCACAUUGGGACUGAGACACGGCCCAGACUCCUACGGGAGGCAGCAGUGGGGAAUAUUGCGCAAUGGGCGAAAGCCUGACGCAGCGACGCCGCGUGGGGGAGGAAGGCCUCAGGGUUGUAAACCCCUGUCAGGCGGGACGAACUACUUGUCGGUCAAUUCUCC